Macaca fascicularis (crab-eating macaque) is the source of this 148-nucleotide unclassified non-coding RNA. It matches the Rfam family "Metazoan signal recognition particle RNA". From Rfam's summary of the family: The signal recognition particle (SRP) is a universally conserved ribonucleoprotein. It is involved in the co-translational targeting of proteins to membranes. NCBI's taxonomy places the organism in Eukaryota, Metazoa, Chordata, Mammalia, Primates, Cercopithecidae. The record is from Ensembl.
GCUAGGUGUGGUGGUGCACACCUGUAAUUCCAGCUACUUGGGAGGCUGAGGCACAAGAAUUGCUUGAACCCAGGAGGCCUAGGUUGCGGUGAGCUGAGAUCACGCCACUGCACUCCAGCCUGGGAGACAGAGCGAGACUCUGUCUCAC